UGAACGCUGGCGGCGUGCCUAAUACAUGCAAGUCGAGCGAACAGACGAGGAGCUUGCUCCUCUGACGUUAGCGGCGGACGGGUGAGUAACACGUGGAUAACCUACCUAUAAGACUGGGAUAACUUCGGGAAACCGGAGCUAAUACCGGAUAAUAUAUUUAACCGCAUGGUUCAAUAGUGAAAGACGGUUUUGCUGUCACUUAUAGAUUGAUCCGCGCCGCAUUAGCUAGUUGGUAAGGUAACGGCUUACCAAGGCGACGAUGCGUAGCCGACCUGAGAGGGUGAUCGGCCACACUGGAACUGAGACACGGUCCAGACUCCUACGGGAGGCAGCAGUAGGGAAUCUUCCGCAAUGGGCGAAAGCCUGACGGAGCAACGCCGCGUGAGUGAUGAAGGUCUUCGGAUCGUAAAACUCUGUUAUUAGGGAAGAACAAAUGUGUAAGUAACUAUGCACGUCUUGACGGUACCUAAUCAGAAAGCCACGGCUAACUACGUG
RNAcentral lists this ribosomal RNA (495 nucleotides) under uncultured bacterium. RNAcentral describes it as "partial 16S ribosomal RNA". It matches the Rfam family "Bacterial small subunit ribosomal RNA", at positions 30 to 507 of the family's 1533-position model. The record is from RNAcentral.